CCGAAGCCGCCGCGUCUGCCCGCCCUUAAAGGGCCGGCGCCCGAAAGAACUGGCGGCGCCGCGCGGCGUCGGGUCGCUACCUCCUGUCACGCCCCUCACCCUCAGACUCUCCGCCCCUUCGCGGCUGGCUCGGCCACCGGCUUCCUCUCCCUCCCUCGCUCCCCCUUUUCCCCGGCGGCGUCUCCAGGCUCCCAGCAACCAGCCGCCUCCCGGCUGUCACAUCCCCGGCGGGCGCCCACCGAGUCUCCCGGCCGUGUUCGGCCCCUGGCGAGCUGGGGCCCCUUCCUGAGGCCCGUCACCCUUCCCCCGGCCCUCCCGCCCCCAGCCGCCCCGUCCCCUCCCUGGUCCCUGAGAGCGCGACUGCGGCUCCAGGGAGGGGACGCUUCCUAAUCUCAGGCCGGGGUUAAAGUUCUGGUCCUGGUGAGAUGCUGGAAGCUGCGGCCCAAGCCCCAACCCGCCCUGGAGGUGUCCUGUCGCUUGCUGCCGCCGCUGCCGCUGCCACUGCCACCCUGCCGGGGCCAUGUUCGCCCUGGGCUUGCCCUUCUUGGCUCUCUUGGUGGCCUCGGUCGAGAGCCAUCUGGGAGUUCUGGGGCCUAAGAACGUCUCGCAGAAAGACGCGGAGUUUGAGCGCACCUACGUGGAUGAGGUCAACAGCGAGCUGGUCAACAUCUACACCUUCAACCACACCGUGACCCGCAACCGGACGGAAGGUGUGAGAGUGUCCGUGAAUGUCCUGAACAAGCAGAAGGGUGCUCCUUUGCUGUUUGUGGUCCGCCAGAAGGAGGCGGUGGUGUCCUUCCAGGUGCCCCUGAUCCUCCGAGGGAUGUUCCAGCGCAAGUACCUCUACCAAAAGGUGGAGCGAACGCUGUGUCAGCCCCCCACCAAGAAUGAGUCCGAGGUCCAGUUCUUCUACGUGGAUGUGUCCACCCUGUCACCAAUUAACACCACAUACCAGCUCCGCGUCAGCCGAAUGGACGACUUCGUGCUCAGGACCGGGGAGCCAUUCAGCUUCAACACCACGGCAGCGCAGCCCCAGUACUUCAAGUAUGAGUUCCCGGAAGGAGUGGACUCGGUCAUCGUCAAGGUGGCCUCCAACACGGCCUUCCCUUGCUCGGUGAUCUCCAUCCAGGAUGUGCUGUGUCCUGUGUAUGACCUAGACAACAACGUAGCCUUCAUCGGCAUGUAUCAGACGAUGACCAAGAAGGCAGCCAUCACCGUGCAGCGUAAGGACUUCCCCAGCAACAGCUUUUACGUGGUGGUGGUGGUGAAAACUGAAGACCAGGCCUGUGGGGGCUCCCUGCCUUUCUACCCCUUUAUAGAAGAUGAACCGGUCGAUCAAGGGCACCGCCAGAAAACCCUGUCCGUGCUGGUCUCGAGAGCAGUCACGUCGGAGGCCUACGUUGGCGGUAUGCUCUUCUGCCUGGGCAUAUUUCUCUCCUUCUAUCUGCUUACCGUGCUCCUGGCCUGUUGGGAAAACUGGAGGCAGAGGAAGAAGAGCCUUCUGGUGGCCGUGGACCGAGCCUGCCCAGAAAGCGCUUCUCUUCUUGGUCACCCUCGGGUCCUGGCCGACUCCUUUCCUGGCACCUCCCCCUAUGACGGCUACAACUACGGCUCCUUUGAGAAUGGUUCUGGCUCCACCGGCUCCACCGACGGUCUGGUUGACAGCGCGGGCCCCGGGGACCUAUCCUACAAUUACCCGGACCCUGCGGGCACUCGACCACGACUGGACUCCAUGAGCUCCGUGGAGGAAGAUGACUACGACACUCUGGCCGACAUUGAUUCAGACAAGAACGUCAUUCGCACUAAGCAAUACCUCUAUGUGGCUGACCUGGCGCGCAAGGACAAACGUGUCCUGCGGAAGAAGUACCAGAUCUACUUCUGGAACAUCGCCACCAUUGCCGUCUUUUACGCACUUCCUGUGGUACAGCUGGUGAUCACCUACCAGACGGUGGUGAAUGUCACAGGGAACCAGGACAUCUGCUACUACAACUUCCUCUGUGCCCACCCGUUGGGCAACCUCAGCGCCUUCAACAACAUCCUCAGCAACCUGGGGUACAUCCUGCUGGGGCUGCUCUUCCUGCUCAUCAUCUUGCAACGGGAGAUCAACCACAACCGGGCCCUGCUGCGCAACGACCUCUGUGCCCUGGAAUGUGGGAUCCCCAAACACUUUGGCCUCUUCUAUGCCAUGGGCACGGCCCUGAUGAUGGAGGGGCUGCUUAGCGCUUGCUAUCACGUCUGCCCCAACUACACCAAUUUCCAGUUUGACACGUCGUUCAUGUACAUGAUUGCGGGGCUCUGCAUGCUGAAGCUCUACCAGAAGCGGCACCCAGACAUCAACGCCAGUGCCUACAGCGCCUACGCCUGCUUGGCCAUCGUCAUCUUCUUCUCCGUGCUGGGCGUGGUGAGGCCCCGGCCCACUUUGCUCACCCGGAGGACAGGUCUUCGGCAAGGGGAACACAGCGUUCUGGAUCGUCUUCUCAGUCAUCCACAUCACUGCCACCCUGCUGCUCAGCACACAGCUCUAUUACAUGGGUCGCUGGAAGCUGGACUCGGGGAUCUGCCGUCGCAUCCUCCACGUGCUCUACACGGACUGCAUCCGGCAGUGCAGCGGGCCUCUCUACGUGGACCGCAUGGUGCUGCUGGUCAUGGGCAACAUCAUCAACUGGUCGCUGGCGGCCUAUGGGCUCAUCAUGCGUCCCAACGAUUUUGCCUCCUACCUGUUGGCCAUUGGCAUCUGCAACCUGCUUCUUUACUUUGCCUUCUACAUUAUUAUGAAGCUCCGGAGCGGGGAAAGGAUCAAGCUCAUUCCCCUGCUCUGCAUCGUCUGCACCUCGGUGGUCUGGGGCUUUGCCCUCUUCUUCUUCUUCCAGGGACUCAGCACCUGGCAGAAAACCCCCGCAGAGUCGCGGGAGCACAACCGGGACUGCAUCCUCCUCGACUUCUUUGACGAUCACGACAUCUGGCACUUCCUCUCCUCCAUCGCCAUGUUUGGGUCAUUCCUGGUGUUGCUGACGCUGGACGACGACCUGGACACGGUGCAGCGGGACAAGAUCUACGUCUUCUAGGGGAGCUGGGCCCCCUUGCUUCUCUCAUGGAGCCCCGAGCUCCUCUGCCUCACCUCCCGGAGGUUCCACAGUGCCAGGGGCCUGAGUCCCAGCCCUGCCGCCCAGUGCCAGGGGUGGUGGGACAGCGAGGUCCAGCCCAGGCUUGGGCCUGGGACAGUCACAGGGUGACCUUGAGCCUUGCUCCUGCCCUCUGCCAGGGAUGAGGCCUGUGCCCCUUCAACCCUGAAUGUUGGCCAAACUGCUGCUUUCUUCUCAGUGUUGGGGCCUUCCACGGGUCCCAGUCCAUCAGCUGUCCAAUUGUCGUUCUGCAGGAGGAAGGAGGGAAGCGUUGCCUGCCCAUUUCAUGGCUUGCAUUCUGGCUGUCCUUCCCCUUCCCCCUUGGCCUGGACCCAAAGCCCACCCUUCUUGCCCGAGCUUCCACUCCAGGGCCCCCUGUCUGGGGCCCGAUUGUCUGUCCUGCACCAGAGUUCACUCCACUUUUCCUGGGUCUGCGCCUGCCUGCCAUCACUGCCCUCUCUGGUCAGCCAGGAUGGAUGCGGCUGUCGGAUCUGGGGGGCAGACUGGCUGGUGCUGGGUUUUUGGUGCUAAGGCCUGCAAGGGAUCCUGGACAGCGCUGCCGCCUCCCUCUGACCUGCGCUCAGGGCUGGUUUUUUAGCAAUGAGGGACAAAGCCUGUAGCAUGGGAGCUGCCUGUGAUUGAAGAGCUGGAUUUGGAGGUCUUCUCACGUGCCAUCAGCCCCCAGACUGAUGAUGGCAACCAGGAUUGGACGGAAGAAGCACCUCACUCCUUUCCUUUCGUCCUCUUUCCAGGCCCUUAGUCCUGCCAAGCCCCACUUGCGGGCCUUUCAGUGCCAUUUGACACUGCCCAAGAAUGUCCAGAGGCGAAGGAGGGGCACUACAGAGAGCACAGCUCCUCCACGGCCGCAGGAGCCCCAGUGCCUGUCUUAGGGGCUCAGGGAAGGGACAUGCCCUUCCCCUCUGUGUCCCUGGUCCAGCCUCACUCUGGGACACAGGGCUGGCUUCUAAGUUUCCGUCCAGUCUUCAGCCAAGUUCUGUGUUACACACACACAUGCACACGUAUGAAACCUUGAGUUUACACUGAGUUGCCCCAACUCUGCUUCCCCUGGCCGCUCUUUCGCCCUACCUGGUCUGUUCCAGAUGCCAAGGUUGGGGAGAUCAAGUCGGGCCUCGGCCUUGGGGAUGGGAACGUGUUUUAUCCUCAACUUGUUUUUCUAGCUCUCCCUCGGGCUGGGCAGAGGCGGAGGGUCUGGAUCUUUCUUCAGAGCUCCGUUUAAUGUCUGUUUCCAUGCUAUGGUUGCAUUUCUGUUUUCUAUGAAUGAGUUUGCAU
This is an RNA transcript of Budorcas taxicolor (takin), 4412 nucleotides long. It is a transcript of the gene named SID1 transmembrane family member 2, with no coding region annotated. The transcript has 27 exons. Lineage: Eukaryota; Metazoa; Chordata; Mammalia; Artiodactyla; Bovidae. The record is from RefSeq and is a predicted model, not a curated record.